GGGUCAGUAGGUUGGUCGUGCCACCGGUACGUACUGGUCUCACUGAUUCCUCCUUCCUGAAGAACCGUAAUGCCAUUAAUUUGGUGUUGCGGGGAAACAGGACUGUUACUUUGAAAGAAUUAGAGUGUUUAAGGCAAGCUAACGCUUGAAUACAUUAGCAUGGAAUAAUGAAAUAGGACGAUCGAUCCUAUUUUGUUGGUUUCUAGGAUUGACGUA
Molecule: ribosomal RNA, 216 nt
Filed under: Glomeromycotina sp.
Lineage: Eukaryota; Fungi; Glomeromycota
Description: partial small subunit ribosomal RNA
Rfam family: Eukaryotic small subunit ribosomal RNA (bases 40-216)
Source: RNAcentral